Molecule: ribosomal RNA, 626 nt
Filed under: Triticum aestivum (bread wheat)
Lineage: Eukaryota; Viridiplantae; Streptophyta; Magnoliopsida; Poales; Poaceae
Description: partial small subunit ribosomal RNA
Source: RNAcentral
AAAAACGCUCCCCUUGGGCCGGCCAAUGCAGUGAGCGUAGAAAAGGGCAUCGGCCUAGAUGAUGGCAGGCUCGUAAUUAGGCCCGUAGCCCCUUCGCCGUCAGGCACAGCACUGGUCGCCGGCUCGCCGCCGUCGCCCCACUUCCACUCCACACCAGGGCACCGCGCCACGGGCACCAGUCGGGGAAAAACCUUGCUCUGCUGCAGUGCUGCGCUGCCCCCAAUCCGUUGUCCAGCUCCGGUUUCGAGGCGGAGGCCGAGGGGGAGGAGGCGGAGGCGCGGACAAGUCGCGGAACAGCGCCGAGAAUUAGAUGGAGCAGAGCUUAGAAAGGUGCUGGAUCUGGAAGGGGAAAAGCUCAGAGGAUAUGACAUGAAUUACCAUCGGUAGUAGACUGGCCAUGUACUUGAAUCGUCGUGACCAGGAUGAGAAGCAGCGCAAGGAUCCAUGUCAGCUUUGUACUUGCUGAGCAACUGAAGUUGAUCACCAUGGUACUCUGUCUUCGGUUCUUGCAAUGUUGGUAAGCAAUCAUGCAAAUUAAGAAGCUUGGUAUCUGCAACAAAUGACUUGUGUACGCAGUUAUAUGGCCGAGAAAACCAAGUACAGUAACACAAUUUAGUAGUAUGCGG